UAGGGAAUCUUCCGCAAUGGGCGAAAGCCUGACGGAGCAACGCCGCGUGAGUGAUGAAGGUCUUCGGAUCGUAAAACUCUGUUAUUAGGGAAGAACAAAUGUGUAAGUAACUAUGCACGUCUUGACGGUACCUAAUCAGAAAGCCACGGCUAACUACGUGCCAGCAGCCGCGGUAAUACGUAGGUGGCAAGCGUUAUCCGGAAUUAUUGGGCGUAAAGCGCGCGUAGGCGGUUUUUUAAGUCUGAUGUGAAAGCCCACGGCUCAACCGUGGAGGGUUAUUGGAAACUGGAAAACUUGAGUGCAGAAGAGGAAAGUGGAAUUCCAUGUGUAGCAGUGAAAUGCGCAGAGAUAUGGAGGAACACCAGUGGCGAAGGCGACUUUCUGGUCUGUAACUGACGCUGAUGUGCGAAAGCGUGGGGAUCAAACAGG
This 429-nucleotide ribosomal RNA is filed under the name Actinomycetes bacterium. RNAcentral describes it as "Actinobacteria bacterium partial 16S ribosomal RNA". It matches the Rfam family "Bacterial small subunit ribosomal RNA", at positions 355 to 776 of the family's 1533-position model. Lineage: Bacteria; Bacillati; Actinomycetota; Actinomycetes. The record is from RNAcentral.